Molecule: ribosomal RNA, 440 nt
Filed under: uncultured bacterium
Lineage: Bacteria
Description: partial 16S ribosomal RNA
Rfam family: Bacterial small subunit ribosomal RNA
Source: RNAcentral
CCUACGGGAGGCAGCAGUGGGGAAUAUUGCACAAUGGGGGAAACCCUGAUGCAGCGACGCCGCGUGAGUGAAGAAGGAAUUCGUUACGUAAAGCUCUAUCAGCAGGGAAGAAAAUGACGGUACCUGAGGAAGAAGCCACGGCGAACGACGUGCCAGCAGCCGCGGUAAUCCGUAGGGGGCAAGCGUUAUCCGGAUUUACUGGGUGUAAAGGGAGCGUAGACGGGACGUCUAGUGGGUUGUGAUAUCCCUCGGCUUAACGGAGGAACUGCAACCAACACUAACUUUCUUGAGUGCUGGAGAGGCAAGUGGCAUUCCUAGUGUAGCGGUGAAAUGCGUAUAUAUUAGGAGGAACCCCAGUGGCGACGGCGACUUUCUGGACAGUAACUGACGUUGAGGCACGAAAGUGUGGUGAGCAAACAGGAUUAGAUACCCGAGUAGUC